AGUGAACGCUGGCGGUAGGCCUAACACAUGCAAGUCGAACGGCAGCACAGUAAGAGCUUGCUCUUACGGGUGGCGAGUGGCGGACGGGUGAGGAAUAAAUCGGAAUCUACUUUUUCGUGGGGGAUAACGUAGGGAAACUUACGCUAAUACCGCAUACGACCUACGUGUGAAAGCAGGGGAUCUUCGGACCUUGCGCGAUUGAAUGAGCCGAUGUCGGAUUAGCUAGUUGGCGGGGUAAAGGCCCACCAAGGCGACGAUCCGUAGCUGGUCUGAGAGGAUGAUCAGCCACACUGGAACUGAGACACGGUCCAGACUCCUACGGGAGGCAGCAGUGGGGAAUAUUGGACAAUGGGCGCAAGCCUGAUCCAGCCAGACCGCGUGGGUGAAGAAGGCCUUCGGGUUGUAAAGCCCUUUUGUUGGGAAAGAAAGGCAGCAGGUUAAUACCCCGCUGUUCUGACGGUACCCAAAGAAUAAGCACCGGCUAACUUCGUG
Molecule: ribosomal RNA, 492 nt
Filed under: uncultured bacterium
Lineage: Bacteria
Description: partial 16S ribosomal RNA
Rfam family: Bacterial small subunit ribosomal RNA
Source: RNAcentral